This 831-nucleotide ribosomal RNA is filed under the name Diplodia sapinea. RNAcentral describes it as "eukaryotic LSU rRNA". It matches the Rfam family "Eukaryotic large subunit ribosomal RNA", at positions 70 to 919 of the family's 3401-position model. The record is from RNAcentral. Lineage: Eukaryota; Fungi; Ascomycota; Dothideomycetes; Botryosphaeriales; Botryosphaeriaceae.
AGGGAUUGCCUUAGUAACGGCGAGUGAAGCGGCAACAGCUCAAAUUUGAAAGCUGGCCCUUUCAGGGUCCGCGUUGUAAUUUGUAGAGGAUGAUUCGGCGAGGGCUCCCGCCUAAGUCCCCUGGAACGGGGCGUCAUAGAGGGUGAGAAUCCCGUAUGCGGUGGGCUGCCUUAGCCAUGUGAAUCUCCUUCGACGAGUCGAGUUGUUUGGGAAUGCAGCUCUAAAUGGGAGGUAAAUUUCUUCUAAAGCUAAAUACCGGCCAGAGACCGAUAGCGCACAAGUAGAGUGAUCGAAAGAUGAAAAGCACUUUGGAAAGAGAGUUAAAAAGUACGUGAAAUUGUUUAAAGGGAAGCGCUUGCAACCAGCCUUGUCCGCAGUUGCUCAGCCGGUCUCCUGACCGGCGUACUCUUCUGCGGCCAGGCCAGCAUCAGUUCGGGCGGUCGGAUAAAGCCCUCGGGAAUGUAGCUCCUCUCGGGGAGUGUUAUAGCCCGGGGUGGAAUGCGGCCAGCCUGGACUGAGGAUCUCGCUUCGGCAAGGAUGCUGGCGUAAUGGUUGUAAGCGGCCCGUCUUGAAACACGGACCAAGGAGUCUAACAUCUAUGCGAGUGUUUGGGUGUCAAACCCAUACGCGUAAUGAAAGUGAACGGAGGUGGGAACCCGCAAGGGUGCACCAUCGGCCGAUCCUGAUGUCUUCGGAUGGAUUUGAGCAAGAGCAUAGCUGUUGGGACCCGAAAGAUGGUGAACUAUGCCUGAAUAGGGUGAAGCCAGAGGAAACUCUGGUGGAGGCUCGCAGCGGUUCUGACGUGCAAAUCGAUCGUCAAAUUUGGGUAUA